RNAcentral lists this transfer RNA (72 nucleotides) under Toxocara canis (dog roundworm). It matches the Rfam family "tRNA". Rfam says of the family: Transfer RNA (tRNA) molecules are approximately 80 nucleotides in length. The record is from Rfam by way of RNAcentral. Lineage: Eukaryota; Metazoa; Nematoda; Chromadorea; Rhabditida; Toxocaridae.
CGGGCAGUAGCUCAGUGGUAGAUCUCCCGCUUCGUACGUGGGAAGACUUAGGUUGGACUCCCGGCUGCUCAC